This 753-nucleotide long non-coding RNA is filed under the name Brassica napus (rape). RNAcentral describes it as "long non-coding RNA (BNAP_LNC021889)". The record is from RNAcentral. Lineage: Eukaryota; Viridiplantae; Streptophyta; Magnoliopsida; Brassicales; Brassicaceae.
ACGUCUUGAAAAGUUACUCAGCUGUUAUGUUGAGCAUAUUGUAUCAGUCGAAAGGUGAGUGUUCGGUUUAAUUAAUUUUGGUCCGUGAAGCAAGUUACUGAAUGAAUCCUGUUACCUAAUAUAUAUAUCGGUCAGAAUCCAUAUCAAUUGAUCUAGAAGCACAUCGUUGGGUCAUUAAGUCAUGGUAGUGUUGCUCAUGAUUUUUCUACAACCUGUUUAUAGUUUCAUUUCAUAUGAGUUUUAAUGCCAUUUAUACAUCAUAUAACAUAUAUAAACACUCUUAUAAAGUAACACAUAUAUACUUAGGAGACAUCACAUAAAGCACACAAUAAUUGCCAGAAACUACACCAGACUCUUUACAUAUACAAACAUACUGACAUACAUGUCUUAGGCGCUUCCUUGUCUCAGUCAUGUCUUGUCUUGUGUGUUUCUAACCGGUUCCAUCGUCGCCACCACCGUCUCCUCCCUUGCCACCCCAGUUAUCAUAGUUUUGUCUUGGAAUGUUAUGGUGGUUGUCUACUCCUCUUGCUGAUGGAAUGACGGUUGUACCCUUUUGAAAAUAGUGAAGUCUCUGAUUUUGGCUGUGUAUCCCUCUCCCGCCUCCCUCCACAUUAAAAGAGCUCAUAAACACCAUUAUUACCACCACCACCACCAGGACAGGCCUUGUCUGAAUUUUCAUUUCUUUUUGUUUUUGUUUUGUUUUGUUUCUUGCAAUAUGUCGUCCUUUUAUAGAAAUUAGAAGUAAAGUUUAGG